GGUUGUUUAGUUUUAAGGAAAAUGCGGAUUUUGUAAUUCUGUGAUAACUUGUUAGUUAAUAACCU
RNAcentral lists this transfer RNA (65 nucleotides) under Raillietina australis. Its description in RNAcentral is "tRNA-Thr". Lineage: Eukaryota; Metazoa; Platyhelminthes; Cestoda; Cyclophyllidea; Davaineidae. The record is from RNAcentral.